Molecule: unclassified non-coding RNA, 308 nt
Filed under: uncultured fungus
Lineage: Eukaryota; Fungi
Description: partial contains small subunit ribosomal RNA, internal transcribed spacer 1, and 5.8S ribosomal RNA
Rfam family: Eukaryotic small subunit ribosomal RNA (bases 1-73)
Source: RNAcentral
GCAAACUUGGUCAUUUAGAGGAAGUAAAAGUCGUAACAAGGUCUCCGUUGGUGAACCAGCGGAGGGAUCAUUAAUGAGUUAAAAAAAACUCCAAAACCCUUUGUGAACCUUUACCGUCGUUGCCUCGGCGCGAGCUGCGGUUGCCCUGGAGCUGCCCUGUAGGUGGCUACCCUGGAGCCGGUUCACGGCCCGCCGAAGGAUUACUAAACUCUGUUUAUUAUCACUGUCAGCUUCUGAAUUCUUAACUGAAAUACGUUAAAACUUUCAACAACGGAUCUCUUGGUUCUGGCAUCGAUGAAGAACGCAGC